AACUUAUCAAGAGCGGUGGAGGGACUGGCCCGAAGAAACCCAGCAACCGGUGUAUUUUAGUAUAAAGUAUACUUGGUGCUAAAUCCAGCAGCGUAAGAGCUGAAAGAUAAGGU
Molecule: non-coding RNA, 113 nt
Filed under: Clostridium sp.
Lineage: Bacteria; Bacillati; Bacillota; Clostridia; Eubacteriales; Clostridiaceae
Also listed under: 1 other name
Description: SAM-I sequence
Rfam family: SAM riboswitch aptamer (S box leader)
About the family: The SAM riboswitch is found upstream of a number of genes which code for proteins involved in methionine or cysteine biosynthesis in Gram-positive bacteria.
Source: RNAcentral